Molecule: transfer RNA, 69 nt
Filed under: Dipodomys ordii (Ord's kangaroo rat)
Lineage: Eukaryota; Metazoa; Chordata; Mammalia; Rodentia; Heteromyidae
Rfam family: tRNA
About the family: Transfer RNA (tRNA) molecules are approximately 80 nucleotides in length. Their secondary structure includes four short double-helical elements and three loops (D, anti-codon, and T loops).
Source: Rfam by way of RNAcentral
GGUGGCUCAGUGGUAGAGCGCUUGCCUUGCAUGCAAGCAUGAAGCCGUGGGUUUGAUUCCUCAGCACCA